Molecule: small nucleolar RNA, 259 nt
Filed under: Marmota monax (woodchuck)
Lineage: Eukaryota; Metazoa; Chordata; Mammalia; Rodentia; Sciuridae
Description: Small Cajal body specific RNA 6
Rfam family: Small Cajal body specific RNA 6
About the family: U88 is small Cajal body specific RNA (scaRNA). scaRNAs are a novel class of small nuclear RNAs which localise to the Cajal bodies.
Source: Rfam by way of RNAcentral
GCCCUGUACUUUUAAAAUUUUAUCUUUAAAUAUUUUGUUCAGUUUUCCCCCAGCUGCCUCAAUCCCAUCAGGCUUCAGUGGUGCUGAGAUGGGCCAGAGAGCAGCUGACAUGCAGGGAUAGCUUGAGUCUGUGUUCCUGGGUGAGCCAAGAAGGGGAGCCAAGGUGGUUGCAUGCAACGGCUUAGCCAUGAACAGCAUGGACUGAUGGUUGGAAGAGCCGGUAUCUGUGGCUGUGAUCUGACAUUUUCAAGCUGAGACC